Podospora anserina is the source of this 87-nucleotide transfer RNA. It matches the Rfam family "tRNA". Rfam says of the family: Transfer RNA (tRNA) molecules are approximately 80 nucleotides in length. NCBI's taxonomy places the organism in Eukaryota, Fungi, Ascomycota, Sordariomycetes, Sordariales, Podosporaceae. The record is from Rfam.
UCUUCCGUAGUAUAGUGGUCAGUAUGUGAGCUUGUCAUCUCUCAGUUGUCAACGCUCGAGACCCGGGUUCAAUUCCCGGCGGGAGAG